UUCUAUUAUGUUACUGUUGGGGGUGAAUUCUGGGUUUUUGAAGUUCCAGGGCCUACCACCCCCAAACUCAAACCAACUGUAGAGUCACAAUUGCUUUAUUGGUGUGAAGAUGAUAUCUUCCGUCAUCAUUCAGUUCAGUAUUACCUAGUCGAGCUAUCUGGUGCACUAUCAUUUGUUAUUCGAUAUGCCUGUCAAUUUGAGGAUCAUAGAUAUAAGACCUAUAAAUUUGAAGUCUUUGAAGUAGAUUUAGUCAAGGGUGAAUUAAAGAUGGAGCCGAUUAAAACCUUGGGAAAUUUGGCCGUUUUUUUGGGUUCUAAUGCAUCAUGUUCCAUUGAAUCGUCUAAAUUUAUUGGAAUUAAGCCUAAUUAUAUAUAUUUUACGGAUGAUUGGCAUGAGAAAUUUCGCUGCUUAGAUGGUGCUGGGAGAGAUAUGGGAGCUUACAAUUUCGAAGAUGGGAAAAUUGAAUCUAUUUAUUCCGAUUUAUCACUAAGUCAUAUUUGUCCACCAGCUUGGAUUAUGCCAUUUCGAAUAAUGUGAUUCCUAGUUUGUCGGAUUAUAUUUUUUUUCCAUACCGUUAAUCUAUUUUUUCUUCUUAGUUUGUUAUUUUUUAAAAUUUAGUUUGCAAAUUUUAACUCUAUCAUUUGAUUCCUACUUAACAUUUUAUCUCCUAUGAAAUUGAAUAACUUUAUUGUUAGAACGGAAAAAGAUCUAAAAUAUGCUCGGAGUAUUGCAAAUGGUACAAAACUAUCCUCCAUACACCUAUGGGCUUCAAAAUGUCUUUCUCAUACACCUAUUGGCUUCAAAAUAUGCUUAUUUGACGGUUUUAAAUUUAAACUGUUUAAAUAUUUCUUUUAAAUACUUGGCGCUCAACUAUUGAUUAUAAUUUAAUUUAUUAAUAUCAUUUAUAAACCAUAUAACUAUCCACUCAUUAAUAAUUAAAUUCUAUCCAUUUAAUAAACUAAUUCUAAUAUCAAAAUAGACCUAAACACUACUAAAACACGAUGAAAUUAUUCGAGUCUGAAUCAAAUCCCAAUUUAAUUUAGGUUGAGCCGCAUAUUAAGGAAGACACUUUUGAAGUUUUCCGGUAGAAAUGUCAAUGAAGGGGGAAAGUGAAGAGUGGAAGAAGCGGAAUUAUAGCCGUUAGCUUAGCUUAUUUGCUAUUGACUAUAUUAUGAUGACUCAUAUAAAAGUGUAUAUUCACAAACUUAGCUUUAUUUCAAUUUAUUAUUUAUAAACUUUACUUUAUAUUUAACUUUAUUUAUCCAUAUUUUACUGACACUCAAAACUUUUUUCCUUUUUCGUCCGUAAUGAUAUAAUCAGUAUAAUUUUAUAAAUAAUUGCGGAGAGAAUAAAAGGUAAUAAUAAUAGAAUAAAUGUGUCACGCGUACUUUAUUAUGAGCUAUCAAAGCACGGCUUAGUCAAUCGUUUAAAUGAAUUCGGAAAGAAUAGGAAAUAAUAAUAGAGUACAUCUGUCCCAAAGUACUUAGCCACGAAAUAUUAAAUCACGCUUAUUUAAUCAAUAGUCGAAUAAAAUAUCUUCAAAUAAUUUUAAAAAUAAGAAAAAAUUGUUCUUAAUUUUUCGUCUGGUGCAUGAUACUUGUAUAAACAGAUUGUAGUUUAAAAUUUGAAGUUUCUGAUUUGUUUACGUUAAGAUCAAAUUAUAUUAAAUGUGUUCACAAUUAAUUAUAUAUAUAUAUAUUUAUUAUUUUUUAAUAUAUAAAUAUAUAUAUGAGUACAGAGAAUACUAUUAGAUUCUUGUGAACUCAUAAAUAAUGGAGUAAAACUUUGGAUCUGCAUACAGACGGACUAAAUUCGAUGUAUGACUAAGAAUAAUUUUUUUUUAUUCAAAUUCAACAUCAUUAAUUAGGAAAAUUAUUUAUUGAUUUAUCAUAAUUGGUAGAUUAUCAAUUUGUUCCUUGAGAUAUAUACUUUUAGCACAUUUAACCUUUACUUUAAUUAAUUAAAAUGUAUGUUUUUACUCCCAUUAUAUGGAAAAUAUGUUAUAUUUAAUCUAUUUUAAGAAAUACAUUAUCCUCAAAUAUGCAGUAACAAUACGAGUUUAAUAUAACCUAUGGAUAAAUUAAGUGAUAAAACUAUUACUAUUUGUGGGGGAUGCUAUUUUUAAUCAUAAUUUGGGUAACAUCUUUGUUAUACUAAAAAAACAUCAUGUUAAUUGAACUUUUUAAAUUUUAAAUUCAAUGUAUUGCACAAAAAAAAAGGACCAAAUUGUUGAGUGACAUAACAAACACCUUGGCUUUAGGAAUGGGUUCCAAAUUAGUAUUACAAAUCCAGAAAAUCUCUCUUAAAAAUCAACAAUUAACUAAUUCUAAUUAAUUAUUACUCUCCUUUCAAUAUCUACAGUAAAAGUAAAAUAGUAAAAACUGGUCCUUCUUUUGAAGUGGAUUUGUAAUUAUCGAUCUGAUAUUCAAAUUAUAAAAAUGAAAAAAAUGAUUAGAGAGUACUUUAUUUUUUAAUAGUUGGUAUAUUACACGAUAAGAAUAAUAUAAACACAAAUAAUACUGAGUGAAAGCAAAUAAAUUAGAUGCAAAAAUAUUUUUUUAAAAAAAUCAUCCAUAAUGAGCGAUUAGUCAAACAUCUUUCUUUGCAUAGAAAGUCAUGAUUUAUUUUUCAUAUAUUUAUAUUGAAUAUUAAAUGUUUUUAAUAAAUUUUUCGACUUAGCCCUGUAUCAACCAAACAAAAAUGAGAAAAUGUUGCAUAGAUUUGAAGUUGAGUCACUAACAUAUUAUAAAUUAUAACAAAGAGAAUCAAAUAGAUUUAUUUGAUAUCUAAGAAGAUAUGAUAUCUGAAUUAUGAUUUGCUUUAUGUUUAAUUAGCUUAAUGAUGCAUCACAUUUUUUUUCUCCUUUAAACUUUGAGUCACUAUUGAAACUUUGAAAUCUAUUUUAAAAAUAAAAUAAAUUAGAAUAAAGCAGAGGACAAGUGGACAAGAGUUUACGUUUGAGUAGAUGUGCUUGUAAAUGCUAAGUUCUUAUAUUUAAUAUGUAUUUUUUUAAUUGUCAAAUUUUAAAUUUAAAUCAUGAAUAUAAAAUUGUUUAUAUUAAAGAAUUUUAUAUUUCUAAUAUGAGAGUAUAUUAUGAUAAUAAAAGUGAUGGUGGCGUAUAAGCCUUUUAUAAAAUAUAACUACACUUUAAACUCUUUUUUUAAAAAAAAUAUUAAUUUUAACGAAGCUAGAUAAUUUUUGUUCAAAAACAAUGUAUUUAUAUUAAGAAAGAAUGAGACAUAAGGUCGGUUCACUUCCCUUAGACCGUUGAGGGUGGCUUUGAGUCAGACCUUUGUCUUCUUUUCUUUUUAUUUUCAGCUUUAUAAUUUUUAUUUUAUUUUUGAAUUUUCAAAUUUGAAUUAUUUCUUUUAGUUCUCUUUUUUUUAUUUGGGUCAAAAUGGAUGAUAGUUUAUAAAUAAGUUGCAACUCUGACUAUAUAAUAUAAUGCGUUAACAAUUUAACUAUACUUCAAUUUCAAAUAAGUUGGUAGAGAAAAUAUUUGAGUUAAUGGUCAAAAAUAUAAUUGAAUUAUCGAAUUUUUGCAAGUUUCAUACAUUAAUUGUCUAUCGUUCAAUUUAUUAGUCAAACUAUCACUUUAUUUGUAUUAACACACACCUAGAUGUUGAGUUGGUUUAUGCUCACUUAUUGUCGAGUAGAAUAAUAAUAGGCCAAAUUAGGAUCGAGGUGUGUUUUAAUACAAAGGGAGUGAGUGUUUAGGAGGUCAUUACAGAUCAUGCCACAUAGGACUCAUUGCAGAUUGUUAGAGAAACUACUCAAGCUGAAUGCACUUAGCAGAAAAAGUUGACAUUGCAGAAAUAACAAAGCUACAUGUAAAGACACAAAGAAUGAUAUACUAUCUAUACAAUGGCCAUAUAUUCACAAUUGUCUCUAAGUUGAACCUAUCUGGUGCUUUGAGCUAACAUGUCUUGCAGGUUCAUAGGGUAACACAUAGGUGUAUGCAGGCUGGACCAGACGUUGUCAGCGAGGAUAGCAUUCACAGCAUCAGUCGGAUGGAAUUGAUCCCACCAGAUGUGGCUAGAGGCGUUACUGCACGCCAUUUCAGGGGAAACACACAUGAUCCAACCUUUAUAUUCACCUAAACCACAGCAAGCCUCAUCUGUCACAUUGAAACCUAUAAUGAAAAUUGAAAAAAACAGUUUGUCAGAUUUGAACUUCUCGCCUGACAUGUCCUGUGAAAUGAGAUCCUACACAUUGCCUCACCAUAACGGUUGUAAUUCUGAAUAAUGUCCAUUGAACCUUCAAAUGCAUCGCAGAAUAUGAUAGUGGCAUCAACAAGCUCUUCAUUUAGUUCAGAAACCAUAUAUCUUACAGCAAAAAUCAUGUCAUUUAUGUUCUUGACACACUCCCCAUUCUCGCUACUGUACAACCAUAAGUAGUAAGGUGCACAGCCUGUUGGAGCCAGUCCCAUUACAACCACUUUUCUCACUUUGUCAUUGUACAGGUUCUGUGGCACCAGUACAUACACGUUAGAAGGAAAACAUUAACCAGCAAAGUAACCUAAUAUCUGCACAUUGAACUUAAUAAUCGUGGAAACAAUGCAGGGGAAAUUGAAACAUAUAAUGCAUGAUAGAGGGAGCAAAGAGGCUAGAUGGUUUGUAUAAAGCUGCAAAAUGUCGAAGAAGGCAACUGCAUAAAGAAGACAGUAUUAAGAUUUUGUAUAGAACAACACUGCACCUUGAUCUGUUGUUUAAUCGUCUGUGCUAAAAACUGGUUGAAACUCCAUGGCAGGUAAACAGUUAAAACAUUUGAGGCAUUCGGGAUAUAGUAGUGAAUGAAGUCAUUGCUCCCAAUCGAAAUGUAAAACAAGCAAUGCUGACCCUGCAUAAACACUAAUAUAAUUUAACUACUACAAAAUCAAUAAUCAUAAAAUGUAGUACGUGGAAAUUGAUUCGUAUAAGAUAAAACAUUACCACUUCCGAGCCAGUUGAGAAUAUAAUAUCAACACCAGCAGAAAGAUAAUUGUACCCAAGAACCAUCUGUUCUAAAAAAUCAGACUGUACUAGAUAGCUAGGCACAAAUGGUAAUCCAAGAUGCAGCGCUGGUACAAUCAGAAUGGACAAGAAACAAUGGAUAGAAAAUUAGCUAUCUUUAACCAAAAGAUCCUAAGAAUUCAUCAUUGAAUUCCACAAAACCAGUACAAGCAUUUUGAGCUUGAAUAGGAUAAAUGACGAGAAAUUUACAGCAAAAGAUCCGUCCGCCGAUUCACUGAAAAUCGAACAAUUCUUUCUCAAAGAAAAUUAAUCAAACAAGUAGCAGUAUCAAAUUUCAAAAGAGACAAGAUAUUAACAGAAAAAGAUCAUGAACCAUUUCAUUAAGAGUUCAAUCUUUUCUCUCUCUCGAACGCGUAGCAGUCUCUGUUUCAAAACUCAAUAGUCGAACAACAAAAAAUCGAAACUUUCCCCAAAUUUCACUACCCAAUAGUUAAAUUUUCCACAAAUCCCAAAAACCAAAUUGAUAAAUGCCAGAAAGUUCAAGAACAGAGUGAUGAAAAAAAAGAUAACUGCUUUUGGUGGGAGGUAUAACUAACUUGAAACCAUGAAUAUUUUCCAUUAACAUUGACCCGAAAAUUGCAACAUUCACAAAAUUAGCAAAAAAACCUUACAUAUCGGAAUUCUACUAACAAAUAUCAAGAAAUUUAAAUCAGACGAAAUUAUAAAAACUUACCAUCCUUAUCUGUGAGAGUAAAACGUUUCGUGUUCGGCUCUUUCACCUUUAGUCCGAAAAUAAUUUCCACAUUGAUUGCAUUUAUUACUUUCAACGGUCUCAAUCUGGCGGUGUACAAGUUUGUAAUGAUCUUUAAGCUCAGCAUCGUUGCGGUAUUUCUUCUGGCAGCCAAUAAAAUCGCACUUUGAAUUAGUUGUUGAAGGAGGAUCUCUAAGUAGAUCAUUUUUCUUUCUAUCAGAGUAAACAUCAUAACGAGACGACAUAGGAGAAGGUUGAAAUGAUUUUUGUGUUUCUAAAAGAGAAUUACAGAAACUUUGUGUAUACCACUAAAAUAAAAAAGUUAACUACAUCUUUGUAUUAGUGUCCAAGUCUGAAGCUGUUACUAACUGCUAGUAACUAACUAACAAGCUCUGUAGAAUCACCCAGCUUCACAAAAUACCCACUUACAGACCUUUUUUUUUUUUUUAAAUUGGUUAUCAGAAUUUGAUAUUCCUAUCAUAAAUGGAUUACUUAAAAAGGUUUUUUAUUUUUUACCCUCUAGAAAAAAAUAAAAAAUGUUUUUUUCUAAAAAAAUGUUUUUAUUUUUAUUUUUACUAAUCAAAUACUAAAAAAUAUUUUUCACCUACUAACUAGACAUGAGAAAAUAAAUUUUAAAUUACUUUCUUUUUCAAAAAACAUUAUUUACGAUGAAAAACGUUUUUCUUCCUACCAAACCAAUUAUACGAUAUUCAGUUGUCAAAUGUUCUCUUCCAAUAAGGUGAAUGGAAAUUUUCUUUAUUCAAUAGAACAACUUUCAUGUAUAGCAUAAAAAUUAUAUUUAUGCUGUUAUAGUUAUACUUUAUACUUGUAUAAUUGCGAUUCAUAACAAGAUUUUUUUUUUUAUAGAGCUUUUGAUUUGUUACACACAUCCAAUUUUAUACAAAUUGUUUAGUUUUGUAUAAAUUCAUAUAUAUAUAUUGUAAUUUAUAUAAUAAAAUAUUUAUUUGUACAAUAUAAUUAUAUUGGACGAAAAUAUAUGUAUUCGUAUUUGUAUAUAUAUUUUUUCUCUCACUUUAUACAAACACAAAAGUAUUUUAUACAUUUUAUAUUGAAAUGACUAAUUUGUAUAUCGAAAAUGACUAGGUGUAUAUAAUUUCUUUCUAUAUAAUUCGAUUCAAUUGUAUAUAAUUGUCAUAUACAACGAAUUACACUAUAUAUGUUUGCUAAUUAUGUAAACUUUGCUAUAACAGAAUUAUAUAUGAAAUUGAUAUAUAUAUAUAUAUAUAUAUAUAUAUAUAUAUAUAUAUGUGAUGUCCAUGUUAAUAGGGGAAGUAUGUUUGGGCUUGUCCAAAUCCUUAUCCGAAUUGAAAUAGGUAUAAUUGCAGGCGUCCCUAUAUAUACUUAUAAUAUGUACCUCUUGUCUUGACCUAGAUCAAGAAGAAAUGGCAGGCGGCUGGGCAGAUUUGCCCAUUGAUCUUCUUGUUGAGAUUGCAAAUCGUAUUGACGUGCUCAAAGAUUUCAUUGUUUUUACUUGUGUUUGUACCUCUUGGAAAAUUGCUGCCCCAAAGGAUAAAUUUGAUGUGUUUUCCCCUCAAGUUCCCUUGUUAAUGUUGGCUGAUAAAGAUAACGAUUAUCGAGAAUACUAUUCACUUUCCAAGAAGAAAGUUUCCAGUAUAUUCCUGCCUGAAGCUAGAGGACGAGAGUGUUGUCCAUCCGAGGGAUGGCUCUGCACCAUGGAAGAUAGUACCGGAGACAUGAACUUGUUACAUGCUUUGUCCCGUAUCGAAAUUCAACUUCCUUCGCGAGAUGACUUAAUGGCUUCGAACGGUCUAGGAGAUGAUCAAGUGUUAUGGGACUGGACGGUUAAGGCCGUCUUAUCUGCCAAUCCUUCUAUUACAUCAGACUACAUAUUGGUGGUUAUGUAUCAUGCAAAUAUUAAUCGUUUGGCUUUUUGGCGACCUGGAGAUCUCAAUUGGACUAAUAUUAAUAUUAGCGUGGACAGAAUGGGUGAUAUCAUGGAUAUGAAUUAUUAUAAAGGUAAAUUCUAUUAUGUUACUGUUGGGGGUGAAUUCUGGGUUUUUGAAGUUCCAGGGCCUACCACCCCCAAACUCAAACCAACUGUAGAGUCACAAUUGCUUUAUUGGUGUGAAGAUGAUAUCUUCCGUCAUCAUUCAGUUCAGUAUUACCUAGUCGAGCUAUCUGGUGCACUAUCAUUUGUUAUUCGAUAUGCCUGUCAAUUUGAGGAUCAUAGAUAUAAGACCUAUAAAUUUGAAGUCUUUGAAGUAGAUUUAGUCAAGGGUGAAUUAAAGAUGGAGCCGAUUAAAACCUUGGGAAAUUUGGCCGUUUUUUUGGGUUCUAAUGCAUCAUGUUCCAUUGAAUCGUCUAAAUUUAUUGGAAUUAAGCCUAAUUAUAUAUAUUUUACGGAUGAU
RNAcentral lists this long non-coding RNA (8093 nucleotides) under Solanum lycopersicum (tomato). RNAcentral's name for it is "long non-coding RNA (SLYC_LNC000595)". The record is from RNAcentral. Lineage: Eukaryota; Viridiplantae; Streptophyta; Magnoliopsida; Solanales; Solanaceae.